AAAACAUGAGGACUUUGGAAUUCUUUAAGUCUCAUCAUUAUUUUACCUAUUGUAUUUUUCCAGCAUUUUACACCUGCCCCAUUUCACCCUAAAAGUUGAUUUGUUAUGGCCACUAGCAUUAUCAUUAUUUUAUUGUCAAUGUUAUUGUUAUUGCAGUUAUUACUGAUGGUUGUAUUAUAGUUUUUUUUAAAGAGAGAGAGAGAGAGAAAAGGAGAGAGAGAGAAUUUUAAUAUUUAUUUUUUAGUUUUCAGCGGACACAACAUCUUUGUUUGUAUGUGGUGCUGAGGAUCCAACCCCGGCCAAACGCAUGCCAGGCGAGCACGCUACCGCUUGAGCCACAUCCCCAGCCCUGUAUUAUAGUUUGUAGAAAAUAAUGCUUAGAAUUGUUAUCACAUCACUUUGAAAUCUUGGGUCCAUUCCCCAUCCUUCUGUGUCUUGCAACAUUCAUUUGUUUAAUCUGUUUCACAUUAUCUGUUUCUUUGUACUUUUGUGCUAUCUGCUGCCCAGUUCUCAAAUUUACUUAAUGCUUAAUAUAUUUUCACUUCAAAAUUUGUUAUUUCUUGGUUCCAUAUUUUUUCCUCUGAUUUUAUCACUGUAUUCCAUGUUUUAAAAGAAAAAUACAUACAAUUCAGAAGUUCUAUGUCAGACUUUUGGUUAAUUUUGAUUCUUGGAUAUGUUCUAUUCAGGGUUAAACUUUUUUGCUAUUACAUGAAAUGAUUCUUCUUUUCAUUUUUAAUUAUUAAAAA
This 746-nucleotide long non-coding RNA is filed under the name Marmota monax (woodchuck). Lineage: Eukaryota; Metazoa; Chordata; Mammalia; Rodentia; Sciuridae. The record is from RNAcentral.